Molecule: ribosomal RNA, 460 nt
Filed under: uncultured bacterium
Lineage: Bacteria
Description: partial 16S ribosomal RNA
Rfam family: Bacterial small subunit ribosomal RNA
Source: RNAcentral
CCUACGGGACGCAGCAGUGAGGAAUAUUGGUCAAUGGACGGAAGUCUGAACCAGCCAUGCCGCGUGCAGGAAGACGGCUCUAUGAGUUGUAAACUGCUUUUGUACAAGGGUAAACCUGAAUACGUGUAUUCAGCUGAAAGUACUGUACGAAUAAGGAUCGGCUAACUCCGUGCCAGCAGCCGCGGUAAUACGGGGGAUCCAAGCGUUAUCCGGAUUUAUUGGGUUUAAAGGGUGCGUAGGCGGAUUGAUAAGUUAGAGGUGAAAUGUCCGAGCUUAACUCGGGAACUGCCUCUAAUACUGUUGAUCUAGAGAGUAGAUGCGGUAGGCGGAAUGUAUGGUGUAGCUGUGAAAUGCUUAGAGAUCAUACAGAACACCGAUUGCGAAGGCAGCUUACCAAUCAAUAUCUGACGUUGAGGCACGAAAGCGUGGGGAGCAAACAGGAUUAGAUACUCGUGUAGUC